GAAAAGAACCCCGGGAGGGGAGUGAAAUAGAACCUGAAACCCUGCACUUACAAGCUGUGGAAGCACAUUUCUUGUGUGACCGCGUACUUUUUGUAGAACGGGCCAACGAGUUACGUUAAGUAGCAAGGUUAAGCACUUAAGGUGCGGAGCCGUAGCGAAAGCGAGUUUUAACUGAGCGUUCAGUUACUUGACGUAGACCCGAAACCGGGCGACCUACCCAUGAGCAGGAUGAAGCGAAAGUAAAAUUUCGUGGAGGUCCGAACCCACGAGCGUUGAAAAGCUCGGGGAUGACUUGUGGGUAGCGGUGAAAUUCCAAUCGAGCCCGGAGAUAGCUGGUUCUCCCCGAAAUAGCUUUAGGGCUAGCCUCAAGGUGAGAGAUACGGAGGUAGAGCACUGAAUGUCCUAGGGGGUAUUGCACCUACCGAAGACUAUCAAACUCCGAAUGCCGUCAUCUUAUACUUGGGAGUCAGACUGUGGGUGAUAAGAUUCAUAGUCGAAAGGGCAACAGCCCAGAUCGUCAGCUAAGGUCCCUAAAUGUAAGUUAAG
This 546-nucleotide ribosomal RNA is filed under the name Clostridioides difficile. Its description in RNAcentral is "partial 23S ribosomal RNA". It matches the Rfam family "Bacterial large subunit ribosomal RNA", at positions 516 to 1063 of the family's 2925-position model. Lineage: Bacteria; Bacillati; Bacillota; Clostridia; Peptostreptococcales; Peptostreptococcaceae. The record is from RNAcentral.